CAGAAGACUGAAGGCCCGCACUGCGGGAAGGGGGGGAAGGGGGGGUUGGCGGUGCUGCUUUGACAAAAGGAGGGCUCCAAUCGGGAAACCAGAUGCUGCUUCCGGACCAAAACGCUUAAGAACUUUGGCAGUCUCAAGAGCUCAGAGCUGGAGGUUGCAAUGUGUGGACAGUCACCGUGUCACCCCUCCCCUGCAGGAGAAGAUGUCACCAGCACCAAGGAGCAGAAGAGGUCCUGUCAUGUGACAAUACCACAGAAGGUGGACUGAUGGCCACAUUCAGAGGAGCGUCACUAAAGAGAGACUGAAGGAAAAGCCACCCAGAGACUUCCC
Long non-coding RNA from Mastomys coucha (southern multimammate mouse), 330 nucleotides. RefSeq lists it as uncharacterized. The transcript is spliced from 3 exons. The record is from RefSeq and is a predicted model, not a curated record. Lineage: Eukaryota; Metazoa; Chordata; Mammalia; Rodentia; Muridae.